RNAcentral lists this long non-coding RNA (907 nucleotides) under Ananas comosus (pineapple). Its description in RNAcentral is "long non-coding RNA (ACOM_LNC037491)". Lineage: Eukaryota; Viridiplantae; Streptophyta; Magnoliopsida; Poales; Bromeliaceae. The record is from RNAcentral.
CCACCCCAAAUCUGUCCUAUUUGCAUCGCUAAACUUAAGUAAUAGAAAGACACUACCUUAAAAAAGAAAAGGAAAAACUUUAAAUACCACCCAUGUAGUUUCACAUUUUCGCACUUUAGUAUCCUAUGAUUUAAAAUGUAUCAAUUUAGUGCCAUAUGGUUUUAUUAUUUUCUUUUUAUUAUCGAUUCUACUCAUUUUUUUCGUUAAAUCAGUGAUAAAGGUAAAACUAAAGGAUAGUAAAGUGAAUAUUCGAUAAAUCUAGGUGGGAUAUCUGAAAUUUUUUAUAUAUAAUUUAACGAAAUAUUAACGAAGAAGCUGACGAAAAGAUAAAAAUGAAAUCACAUGACACUAACUUGAUUUAUUUUAAGCUAUAGGAUACUUAGGUAGUGUUUGGUUGGAGAACAAGGGGGGGAAUAAGUCCUUGUUCCCCCCUUUGUUCCCAAACGCAAUAUUUGUUGCCCGGGAACAGUAGUUCCAGAAUUUCAAGAACAAGCCGGUAUAAAGCUGGAACUGUUGUUCCACCUUUUUACUGGAACAAGCUUAUUUUUUGAUGAGAACAAGAUUAAUUAAAAUCUAAAUUUAAUUUUAAUAAUAGUAAACUAUUAAUUAAUCUAAUUAAUAUAUUUAAAUUAUUAUUUAUUACUUUAAUAAUUAAGUAAUUAAUUAAUUUAUUAUUUGUAAUUAAUUAAUAAUAAUUAGAUAAUUAUUAUAAUUAAUUUAUUAUUGAUAAUUAAUUAUUAAUAAUUAAUAAUUAAUAAUAUUUAUUAUUAUUUAUUAAUAAUUACUAUCCUUAAUAAUUAGAUAAUCGAUUGUAUUAUUAAUUUAUUAUUUAUAAUUAAUUAUUAAUAAUUAUUAAUUAGACAAUCGCUAUUAUUAUUAAUUUAUUAUUUAUAAUUAAUUAAUGAUA